Molecule: long non-coding RNA, 2318 nt
Filed under: Capsicum annuum
Lineage: Eukaryota; Viridiplantae; Streptophyta; Magnoliopsida; Solanales; Solanaceae
Description: long non-coding RNA (CANN_LNC016435)
Source: RNAcentral
CAUGAUGUCCACAUGCCUCUAUAAACAACAAGCCAAACCUUCCUAUUCAAACCCUCCACCCCAUCCCCUUCACUCUCUCUCUCUUUAGACUGUUCCUUUGUGUUUGAGUUCUUGAUCAUGAGCAGCUAGCCACCCCUUUGCCGUCAACUCGUGAUGGCAAAGGGGUGGCACGCGCGUAGCCCAAGACUCACUAUUGUUGUCUGGAGGGAGCUGCUGGUGAUUUUGUCUACUUUUAUCUUUGUCCCAAGGUAAGGAAAUUGCCAUUUUAUUCAAUUUUAUGGUGAUUUUCUAGUUAUGAAUAGGGCAACUUGUAUCCUUUGGCAUUUUCACUUCCCUUUGAGUACUCUCUUAAUGAGCUCUUGGAAGUUUUUAACUAUAGUAAAACAAUAAUUCAAGUAGGAUUUGUGUAGUCCUAUUUGUACUUUGUUGAACAUGUUUGGUGUAUUAAUAAAUGUUGUGUAGUACUUUGGGAAGAACUAGUUGAACAUGUAUUACUAGUAUAUAUUUGGCCAGUACUGGCUAUAAUAAUUAAAGUAUUGUUUUCUGUUAAUGUUUGAAGAGUGUUUAUUAUACAUUGUUGUUGACUUCGUACAUCAUGUUUUUGCGUAUAGAUGUUGCAAUAUAAUAUAAUCAAUAAAUAUUGAAGAGGAUAUGAAAUUUUUUAUUUAUUUUUUUAAAAUGUUUGAUAACUUCAAUUGUUACUUUCAUGCCUCGACGUGAUUGGAAAUGUAUAAAUAUUUUCGUGUGUUUAACAAUGAGGUUUGUUAAGCCAUGUUGGUCACUAUCAUAAUUUGUAGUUUGAUACUUAAUUAAGCUAAUUGCACUUUAUGUUGCAAAAUACCUUGGGUAUAAUAACUUGAAUGGAAUUAUCCUCUUAUCUUGUGAUUACAAGUGUAGAUUGUUCAUUUGUGCCAUUUUCUGACUAAGAGAUGCUGGAUCUUACUUUUUCUUAAAUGUAAUAAUUAUUACGUUGAGCCUUGAAGAAUAGACAAUCACUUGUUAUUACGUUAAAAAUAAAAAAUAAAAAAAUUCAAGAUAAAAUGAAAUGAAUCAAAAUAUAAUUAAGUUUAUAGCGUAUUGUGCAAACACGAUUAGAAAGUGAUUUAACCUGCGUGAUUAGUGGUGAAAGAGGGAUAGGUCCCUAGAAGGAUUUUAGGGAAUAGAAAGGACAAGUGAAUUAUAGAGCUAAUUAAGAUAAGAGGAAAUUAGAGAUUUUGCCCAUUGAGAUUGAGCAUGACGAGCCACAACUGAUCCAAUAUUGAGAUAAAAAAGGAAAAACUUCCUUAGAUUACAACCCCUCACCCCACGCACCCCACCCCCACAAUAUAUAUACACACAUUUUUUGUUUGUGUCAAGACGAAUUUUACACACAUAAUUUAAGCACUCUUUUUCACAGAGUUUGAUAGUCAUAAUGUUAUCAUGAUGUGCUGAAAUAAUGGAGACACAAAAGGUAAUAACAAGUGCUACAUGUACUUAGACUUAGAUUAGCACUACUUAAUACAUACUCCUUGAAUACUAGUAUUCUCUUUGUUUCUAUUUACUUGUCACCCUUCUAAGUUGCACAUGUAGUUAAAAAAUUAUUCAAUAAAAUUAUUCUUAUUUAUUACUCAUCUUUAUUUAAUGCUUUUUUUUUUUUUUAUAAUAUACUAAUAUCUCUUCAUAUUUAUUACAAAGGAUAAAAGUAAAAAAAAAUCGAUUGUGUCUUGAGUUUAUGAAAUGACUAGUAUAAGGAACAUCUAUUUUUAGCAUGCACGACAACUAAUUAGGAAAGGUGAGAGUAUCAAUUUAUGUGACACCAUUUGACUUGACAUAAAAAUUAAGAAAGAAAUGAAAUAUCUUAAAAUUUAUGAUCUAAAACAAGUCUUAGACAUUUAAAUAACUAUAAAUCAUAUCAUUGAAGAUAAAAGAGGUAUUUUGAAAUUAAAUUCUUUUUAAUUACAGAAAGACGGCUCAGUUUCUUUUGAACGAACUGAAAAAAAAUGUAUUACAUAAAUUGAAAUAGAAAGUAUCAAAUUACCAAUAGUAUAAUUCAUAACCACCUAUGUAACUAUAGUCACCUAGUUAAAUGUUAAUAAGUUGUCAUCGAGUGAUAGGGGCGCAAAGGGAUCAAAAAAGAAAGCCACUUCAUCGGAAAAGUAUAUUGAAUAAAUAAAAUUAUUUUUUUAUAUAUAUAAUGAUGUUGAAUCUUCUUAUUUUGUUAUAUAUGUUUACUUCUUAAUAUUUAACAUCCCAUUAAUGAACAUAUUGUAUCCAAUUUUUUAAAGGCAGAGGCGUAAAACAAGACAUUUUAUCUGAUAUGAGGCGAAGCGUAAGUCUCG